Molecule: non-coding RNA, 48 nt
Organism: Schistosoma margrebowiei
Lineage: Eukaryota; Metazoa; Platyhelminthes; Trematoda; Strigeidida; Schistosomatidae
Source: Rfam
AUCCAGCCGACGAGUCCCAAAUUGGACGAAACGCGCGUCAAACUGGAU